UGGGAAGUGAGGAGCCUCUCUGCCUGGCCGU
RNAcentral lists this non-coding RNA (31 nucleotides) under Homo sapiens (human). The record is from RNAcentral. Lineage: Eukaryota; Metazoa; Chordata; Mammalia; Primates; Hominidae.